AAUAUUGCACAAUGGAGGGAACUCUGACGCAGCGACGUCGCGUGAGCGAAGAAGGUCUUCGGAUCGUAAAGCUUUGUCUUUGGGGACGAAAAAAAUGACGGUACCCAAGGAGGAAGCCCCGGCUGACUACGUGCCAGCAGCCGCGGACAUACGUAGGGGGCAAGCGUUGUCCGGAAUUACUGGGCGUAAAGGUGGCGUAGGCGUAAUAUUAAGUCAGGUGUGAAACCCCACGGCUCAACUGUGGGCUUGCACAUGAAACUGGUAUGCUUGAGUGCAGGAGAGGAAAGUGGAAUUCCUAGUGUAGUGGUGAAAUGCGUAGAGAUUAGGAAGAACACCAGUGGCGAAGGCGACUUUCUGGACUGUAACUGACGCUGAGGCACGAAAGCGUGGGGAGCAAACA
This 400-nucleotide ribosomal RNA is filed under the name uncultured bacterium. Its description in RNAcentral is "partial 16S ribosomal RNA". It matches the Rfam family "Bacterial small subunit ribosomal RNA", at positions 360 to 774 of the family's 1533-position model. The record is from RNAcentral.